This 63-nucleotide transfer RNA is filed under the name Lyonsia norwegica. RNAcentral describes it as "tRNA-Gly". The record is from RNAcentral. Lineage: Eukaryota; Metazoa; Mollusca; Bivalvia; Lyonsiidae.
AUCUCCAUAGUAUACACAGUAUAGAGGUCUUCCAAACCUAAGGUCCCUGCAUGGGAGGGGAUA